UUCCUCAAAACUUUGAGAUAUGGAUAGGGAACGACACAAAAUCAUUGUGGGAAUGUGAUGCAAAUGGAUUCCGGGAGAUUGUAAUUAAAAUUGAUAAUGAAGGUUCAAGCUUGGUGAAGAAAUGCGGGUUGCGUGUUGUAUACAAGAAAGACAUUGAAGAUUUCAAUAGUUCUAUGGUUCAGUGUAGCAACAACAGCAUCAUUCCUUAUGAGUUUUGAAAGAGACCCUGAAUUUAUGGCCCAUGGUAAAUAUUCUGAGUCAAGUCAGUACAAGGAAUGUAAAUAUUUACAUGUUAACUAACAGUUCAAAAACGAAGAAAAGCCUCAACAACAACAGGAUAAGCAAGUCCACACCUUUAGAGAGUGUUCCAACUGGCAACCAACCAUGUUGGUUGAGAGCUGCAAGGGUAAGAGAAGGAAAGGGGAUCCAAUUUCUUUUUGUAAAAAUAGAGGUCCAUGUCUGUGGCUGGUUGUUUCAGCUGGGUUGAUAAAUAUUCUAUUCUGACAGCAGCUUUAUUGGUUUUUUUAUUGAGGAUUGUUGAUGAUUCUAGCUUUGGGAUUCCUCUCUGUUAGUAUUCUUAGAAGCAACAAAGAGGUGGCAGAGUUACCUAAUAGAGAGGCUGUGAUGAAGGACAUUCAGUAUUUUACAAAUGUUUGGGAUUGACAGGUAGACACAGACGUUUUGGCAGAGCCUUGAUCUCUAGCAACCAUUGUCCUUAAGUCUUUAUGAGCAUUAGCUUGGAUAACAGAUAGAGAACUCCUAAUCUUUUCUUCUUGUGCUGUUUUGGUUCCUUUGUUUCAAUGCACCAAAAAAAGAAUGGCAAGAAAAGGUUUUUGUUGGUGUCUUAAAAAGCAAUAGAAAUCAUGUGCUGGAAGGCAAGUAAAUAUCAAAACUGUAAAGCUUUCAUUGCCAAAGGUAUUAUUAAUUUAUAGUUUUAUCCCAUAUUUCCAUUCAAAAUUAUGCAUAUUUGUUGUCCUCAUUUUAGUAGUCCGUAACCGCAAGCUGAUUGGUAAGAAAAGGCAUGACAAAUUGACAGGUAAUUCAAAAUGAAUAAACUAGAAUUCUAAUUCUUAUAUUUUUCCUUAUUUAAGUAUAAUUUGGUUUCUUUAAUUUAAAGUAUGAAAAAGGGGUUUUAUUUGUUUAGAACUAUUAAAAGGCUUUCUUGUUUCUUCUUGUCAUCUAGAAAUCUGGUUUGGUUAGAUCUGUCCAUUAGAAUUGAUUUCAUUCAGCCUUAGUCGAUUCAGGCAUGGAUCAAGAGCUGGCUGAAGGGUAUCAGUGGCAAUUUAGAAAACUUAAAGUACUUCUCAGAUUAGUGUGUCUCUAUUUUAUGGUCUAUUUGGACUUAUAGUAGGAACAAGGAAACUUUGAAGGGAGAUCCUUUCCCUGCCACUAAUGUGGUCAUGUAUAGUAAAACUUUGAUUUUCUAUGUGCAGGGUAACUAACAGUUCAAAAUAAAGAAACAGUGGAAACAUAAGUCAAGACCUGUAUAGUAUUCUUAGAAGUAACAAGAGAUGGUAGAGCUGAUGAAGGACAUUUAGCAGUUUACAAAUGUUUGGCUUCGGACAGGUAGACAUAUGUCUUCUGGCAUAGCCUCAAUCUCUAGCAACCAUUUCUCCUAACUUCAUUAUGAACAUUAGCAUGGAUAGCAAACAGUGGACUCCUAAUCUGUACACUUUUAUUCUAGUGCUGUUUUUUGUUCCUUUUUGUCAAUCUACAACAAAAAAAAUGUUUGUUCA
This is a long non-coding RNA of Quercus lobata, 1736 nucleotides long. RefSeq lists it as uncharacterized. The record is from RefSeq and is a predicted model, not a curated record. Lineage: Eukaryota; Viridiplantae; Streptophyta; Magnoliopsida; Fagales; Fagaceae. The transcript has 2 exons.